AUCCAACCGACGAGUCCCAAAUAGGACGAAACGCGCUUGCUGUAU
Non-coding RNA from Schistosoma margrebowiei, 45 nucleotides. The record is from Rfam. NCBI's taxonomy places the organism in Eukaryota, Metazoa, Platyhelminthes, Trematoda, Strigeidida, Schistosomatidae.